UGGGGAAUCUUGCGCAAUGGGCGAAAGCCUGACGCAGCAACGCCGCGUGAGGGAAGAAGGCCUUCGGGUUGUAAACCUCUUUCAGGAGGGACGAAGCCACCAGGGUUAAUAGCCUAUGGGGUGACGGUACCUUCAGAAGAAGCCCCGGCUAACUACGUGCCAGCAGCCGCGGUAAUACGUAGGGGGCAAGCGUUGUCCGGAAUCAUUGGGCGUCAAGCGCGUGUAGGCGGCGUGGUAAGGCUGGCGUGA
This 249-nucleotide ribosomal RNA is filed under the name uncultured bacterium. RNAcentral's name for it is "partial 16S ribosomal RNA". It matches the Rfam family "Bacterial small subunit ribosomal RNA", at positions 355 to 597 of the family's 1533-position model. The record is from RNAcentral.